Long non-coding RNA from Numida meleagris (helmeted guineafowl), 1759 nucleotides. RefSeq lists it as uncharacterized. The transcript is spliced from 3 exons. The record is from RefSeq and is a predicted model, not a curated record. Lineage: Eukaryota; Metazoa; Chordata; Aves; Galliformes; Numididae.
UUUGUUGUGGUGUGUCAAUUGUAGGUUGCUAUUCACAAUAGCAGUACUUGAGCAUCUUUCCUAUAAAAUAGAGCAACUAUCAAGGCCGUAACAAUCUUCAUGGAGUCCUUGCCACCAUUUGUGUUAAACAGCGUUGGUGUAUUUAUUUGUUUGUUUAUAUUUGGUAGAUUUUACUCAUUACUCUUAGGGGAUCUUCAGUUUCAAACAAAGACACCAGCAAUAUGGGGGCAUAUUAGGCACAUUAGAGCCAAAGGCCCAAACAUUCAGCAGAUUUUUCAUGGUCUGAGAAAAUCAGGCAGUUUAUAUUUCAAACAUGGCAUUAUGAAAGCACUCUAAAGUCUGAGAACUUCUGCUCAAUAUUUAACUCAGACUGCUGGAUGGUGUCUGCAAGCUGGGAUUUCCUGGAACUUGGUCGAGGGAACCCUUUUGAGACUGAAUCUUACUUCAAUGGUUUUCUAGGGAAAUUUGUCUGAGCUUUCUCUCUGCAGGUCUGAAUUACUGCAAAAAUUUGUGACUGUUAAGCAACAUACGCAGAAUCUGAUCUAGAAGAAAUAAUGGGAUCUGAGGUUUUGCACAUGUUUCAAGAUUUGGGAGAUGGAAAAUUUUCCAUUGAAUAUAAAUGUAUAUUUAUUGUUCAGCAGAUCACAAGUAAUUUUUCUAUGUGGCAAGUUCAGGAGCUAACAACUAAUGGAGUGACACGUGAGGGAAAUUGCAAACCGUUUUAGAACUGCUGGACAAUUCGUCAGCUCUUGCUUCAUUUGUCAUAAAGGCUGAAGGUCAUACACAUGGCAGAAGCCCCCAACCCUGCCUGCAGGAGCUCCUGGUAAAAGCAUUCAGGCAGGGUGAGAUGCAGAGCCUGAGCUGCCACUCGAUGUUGUACACUCUAUAAUUGGCAGCAAAUGUCAGUGACCUGGCAUGAUUCCUGGCUAUGAAGUGGCUCCUUUUUGGAAGAAGAAAUUUUUGCUCCAGUUCCUGAGUGUUUCCUGGAAGGCAUGAUAGCAUUUAUGGGCCUUGAUAUGACUUUAACUCAUGCAACAAUGCAGCAACUGGUUUAACUGUCUGAUUGAGGUAAUUCUUGAAGUCAGCCUAAAAGCAUCUAUCUCAAGGCCUGCCAAAGAUAUGCUUUUCAGACAUACACAGAUGUAAGAAGACAUGAUUUAAAACCUUCAUGUGAUAGAAAUUAAUCUUAGAAAUGUGGAUAUGUGUACCUGUUCAUACCUCAGCCCUCUCUUCUGACACAGUGUUUCUUGUUUCAGUGAUGUUCCUCUUACUUUACCUGGGAAAUUUCUUCAUCAGCUCAUCCUGCACUUCUCCUCAGCCCAGCUAAUAAUCACACACUGCCUUUCCAUAUGGGCACUCUGGCAGUGCUGAUGAGUAUUUUCGCUUUAAUAGAAAACAAGACUGAAUAAAAGAUCAAAAUAUUUUCCAUGCUAUUUUCUGGUCUUGUGUUAAUAGAGAAUUUUGCAACCAUUUUUCUAAUAGCAUUUAUGAUUUUUUUCUCAAUUUGGUUAUCUGUGGCUUCUUUGAAAUCUCUGUUGAAAUCUGAUCUAUAAAAUAAAAUGAAUGUUGAAAUAUCUGCUCUCCAUGUUGUAGGUAAUAAAAACAAUGUACAGGUUAAUAACGUUCCCUUUAAAUACAGAAUCAAGCAUAUUAAGUAUCUUGGAGUUAAGAUUUUAACUUUCUUAGAUUUAUGGUAAGAAUUAAAAUAUCCUCUCUUGUUACAUUUAUAAAGAUAUAGCUCGUUAGAUGAAGGAAAUUU